CUUGAAUGUUAGAACGAAUUAAAAGGUAUCAGGAAUGGCGUUAGGUAAUACAGAGGUGAAGUUAGUAUCGAUAUUAGCUGAUAUUGGCAUGGUGAUUAUGUAAACCGGCAGAAUGUGACUACCUAUUGAGAAAUCUAUGUGUAAGCGUUACCUUAGGAGCAAUGGUGUGUCGACGUAGUAGCGAACGCGAAAGUAGAGGACGAAAGCUGGUCUCCCGCUGCUGUACUUACGUAUGUAUGAGAGCUACGCCAGUUUUUCGGUGCGUAUUUGCUUAAUUUAUUC
This 282-nucleotide unclassified non-coding RNA is filed under the name Bombus terrestris (buff-tailed bumblebee). RNAcentral describes it as "misc RNA ENSBTSG00005028378.1". Lineage: Eukaryota; Metazoa; Arthropoda; Insecta; Hymenoptera; Apidae. The record is from RNAcentral.